UAGGGAAUCUUCCGCAAUGGACGCAAGUCUGACGGAGCAACGCCGCGUGAGUGAAGAAGGAUUUCGGUUCGUAAAACUCUGUUGUUAGAGAAGAACAGCGCAUAGAGUAACUGUUAUGCGUGUGACGGUAUCUAACCAGAAAGCCACGGCUAACUACGUGCCAGCAGCCGCGGUAAUACGUAGGUGGCAAGCGUUGUCCGGAUUUAUUGGGCGUAAAGCGAGCGCAGGCGGUCAAUUAAGUCUGAUGUGAAAGCCCCCGGCUCAACCGGGGAGGGUCAUUGGAAACUUGUUGACUUGAGUGCAGAAGAGGAGAGUGGAAUUCCAUGUGUAGCGGUGAACUGCGUAGAUAUAUGGAGGAACACCAGUGGCGAAGGCCACUCUCUGGUCUGUAACUGACGCUGAGGCUCGAAAGCGUGGGUAGCAAACAGG
This 429-nucleotide ribosomal RNA is filed under the name Bacteroidota bacterium. RNAcentral's name for it is "Bacteroidetes bacterium partial 16S ribosomal RNA". It matches the Rfam family "Bacterial small subunit ribosomal RNA", at positions 355 to 776 of the family's 1533-position model. The record is from RNAcentral. Lineage: Bacteria; Pseudomonadati; Bacteroidota.